CUUAAGCAUAUCAAUAAGCGGAGGAAAAGAAACCCCCCGGGAUUGCCCUAGUAACGGGCGAGUGAAGCGGCAAGAGCUCAAAUUUGAAAGCUGGCCCCCUCGGGGUCCGCAUUGUAAUUUGCAGAGGAUGCUUCGGGAGCGGUCCCCAUCUAAGUGCCCUGGAACGGGCCGUCAUAGAGGGUGAGAAUCCCGUAUGGGAUGGGGUGCCCGCGCCCGUGUGAAGCUCCUUCGACGAGUCGAGUUGUUUGGGAAUGCAGCUCUAAUUGGGUGGUAAAUUUCAUCUAAAGCUAAAUAUUGGCCGGAGACCGAUAGCGCACAAGUAGAGUGAUCGAAAGAUGAAAAGCACUUUGAAAAGAGAGUUAAACAGCACGUGAAAUUGUUGAAAGGGAAGCGCUUGCGAUCAGACUCGCCCACGGGGUUCAGCCGGCAUUCGUGCCGGUGUACUUCCCCGCGGGCGGGCCAGCGUCGGUUUGGGCGGUCGGUCAAAGGCCCCUGGAAUGUAACGCCUCUCGGGGCGUCUUAUAGCCAGGGGUGCCAUGCGACCUGCCCGGACCGAGGAACGCGCUUCGGCUCGGACGCUGGCAUAAUGGUCGUAAGCGACCCGUCUUGAAACACGGACCAAGGAGUCUAACAUCUACGCGAGUGUUCGGGUGUCAAACCCGUGCGCGCAGUGAAAGCGAACGGAGGUGGGAACCCUCACGGGUGCACCAUCGACCGAUCCUGAUGUUUUCGGAUGGAUUUGAGUAAGAGCGUAGCUGUUGGGACCCGAAAGAUGGUGAACUAUGCCUGAAUAGGGCGAAGCCAGAGGAAACUCUGGUGGAGGCUCGCAGCGGUUCUGACGUGCAAAUCGAUCGUCAAAUUUGGGUAUAGGGGCGAAAGACUAAUCGAACCAUCUAGUAGCUGGUUCCUGCCGAA
RNAcentral lists this ribosomal RNA (915 nucleotides) under Penicillium sp. DV-2018p. RNAcentral's name for it is "LSU rRNA". It matches the Rfam family "Eukaryotic large subunit ribosomal RNA", at positions 33 to 965 of the family's 3401-position model. The record is from RNAcentral. Lineage: Eukaryota; Fungi; Ascomycota; Eurotiomycetes; Eurotiales; Aspergillaceae.